ACGGGAGGCAGCAGUGAGGAAUAUUGGUCAAUGGUCGGAAGACUGAACCAGCCAAGUCGCGUGCAGGAAGACGGUCCUAUGGAUUGUAAACUGCUUUUGUACGGGAAUAAAGUGCGGGACGUGUCCCGUUUGGAAUGUACCGUAAGAAUAAGGGUCGGCUAACUCCGUGCCAGCAGCCGCGGUAAUACGGAGGACCCGAGCGUUAUCCGGAUUUAUUGGGUUUAAAGGGUGCGUAGGCGGACGCGUAAGUCAGCGGUGAAAUAUCCCGGCUCAACCGGGAGGCUGCCGUUGAUACUGCGCGACUCGAGUCCAAACGGCGCCGGCGGAAUAUGUAAUGUAGCGGUGAAAUGCAUAGAUAUUACAUAGAACACCGAUCGCGAAGGCAGCUGGCGAGGAUGGCACUGACGCUGAGGCACGAAGGCGUGGGGAUCAAACAGGAUUAGAUACCCUGGUA
Molecule: ribosomal RNA, 454 nt
Filed under: uncultured Parabacteroides sp.
Lineage: Bacteria; Pseudomonadati; Bacteroidota; Bacteroidia; Bacteroidales; Tannerellaceae
Description: partial 16S ribosomal RNA
Rfam family: Bacterial small subunit ribosomal RNA
Source: RNAcentral